GAGGGGCUGGCCUUGUUAUAAAGCAAGCCCUCUCUGCUCCCUUGCUGUGCCUCCCUGAGUGAUGGUAGCAGGCAGGUCCUCACCAGAUGCCAGGCAGAUGCCAGCACAUUCGCUCGGAGCCUCCAGAACUGAAAGAGGAGACGGAAAUGUCUGCAGGGUGUCAUGGUAUUGACACAUCUUCCCUUUGAAACCUUGAGCACGGACACAGUCCUGGAUUGGAGCACAGUACGGACCACAGGGUGGCCCUCGGUCUGUUGAUACUGAUGAAGAUCGGUCGUUGAUGAAGAACUAUCAAUAUGCACCUCUGUGGCUAAGGGGGCAAGUGGCUCCACAUGGCGCCAUCGUGUGAGAUGUGGCUCCAGACAUCCUUCUAGCUUCCUUCCCUCCUUCGCCAAAGGGACUAGAAGUUUUCUUUCAAAUAUGCUUUAAAUGGGGGGAUGAGGAGCUGCUGGUGGGAGAUGCAGGAAGAGGAAGGCAUCAGCAGCACCAGGGAGGUGUCCAAGAAGCCGCCACCUGGAGCUUAGGAUGAAGAUGAAGGGUCCACUGCCUCUGUCCUGCGUGGACUCCAAGAGCAAAGAAGGGGUGCUAUGGGAAAUGGGAUCUGGAGGGCUUUUCUCCCCCACGGUGCCUCUCCAUUCUCCAAAUAGGGCCUUUCAGACAAACAAGGGGGUCUUGUUCUCCCAG
Molecule: long non-coding RNA, 684 nt
Organism: Marmota monax (woodchuck)
Lineage: Eukaryota; Metazoa; Chordata; Mammalia; Rodentia; Sciuridae
Exons: 3
Source: RefSeq, a predicted model, not a curated record